AGAGUGAACGCUGGCGGCAGGCCUAACACAUGCAAGUCGAACGGCAGCACAGGAGAGCUUGCUCUCUGGGUGGCGAGUGGCGGACGGGUGAGGAAUACAUCGGAAUCUGCCUAUUUGUGGGGGAUAACGUAGGGAAACUUACGCUAAUACCGCAUACGACCUACGGGUGAAAGCGGAGGACCUUCGGGCUUCGCGCAGAUAAAUGAGCCGAUGUCGGAUUAGCUAGUUGGUGGGGUAAAGGCCCACCAAGGCGACGAUCCGUAGCUGGUCUGAGAGGAUGAUCAGCCACACUGGAACUGAGACACGGUCCAGACUCCUACGGGAGGCAGCAGGUGGGGAAUAUUGGACAAA
Molecule: ribosomal RNA, 351 nt
Filed under: uncultured soil bacterium
Lineage: Bacteria
Description: bacterial SSU rRNA
Rfam family: Bacterial small subunit ribosomal RNA
Source: RNAcentral